RNAcentral lists this transfer RNA (72 nucleotides) under Camelus bactrianus (Bactrian camel). It matches the Rfam family "tRNA". Rfam says of the family: Transfer RNA (tRNA) molecules are approximately 80 nucleotides in length. The record is from Rfam by way of RNAcentral. Lineage: Eukaryota; Metazoa; Chordata; Mammalia; Artiodactyla; Camelidae. RNAcentral also lists the same sequence under 2 other names.
GUGGAUAUAGCUCAGUAGCAGAGCCCAUGCUUAGCAUGCACGAGGUCCUGGGUUCAAUUCCCAGUAUCUCCA